UUGAAUGCAGAAGAGUUGGCACUGUAUGUUGUCUCCUGAGAAUGCUUAUCAAAUAUCAGCACUGCUGCUAGAACUAUGGAGAAACUGAAAAGUUGAAGAUGCUUCCUAAGGCCACAGGGUAAGAUUGAAUUUCACAUGAACUUUUUCUACAAGAUUUUGGAUGAUGACU
This is a long non-coding RNA of Corapipo altera (White-ruffed manakin), 169 nucleotides long. RefSeq lists it as uncharacterized. Lineage: Eukaryota; Metazoa; Chordata; Aves; Passeriformes; Pipridae. The transcript has 3 exons. The record is from RefSeq and is a predicted model, not a curated record.